GGCGGUCGCUGGCUGAUCCUUCGGUCAGGCCCAGUUCAGAGCGGCUCCUCCCUCUCCCGGGUGCCAGCCCCCCCUUCCCCUCCCCGGCAGCGCUGCUGCUGCUACUACACCGGGUAGGUUUCCAGUCACUAUGGCGGCUGCGAAGGUCAGAAGAAAGUUUUCGUUGUCGGCGGCCGCCUGAGAACGACACUGAGCGGGAGGCAUCCGGGCCCGGCCUCCAGGCCUCUCCCGUAGCCGGAGCAGGGCCAGCCCCGCUGGGCUAGCGGAGACCUUGCUCCUCAGGAGAGAGCGACAAACGGCAUCCCGAUGCGCAGCCACCUGCGGAGACCCUGAGCGGAGCAGAUCCCUCCCCCUUUGGCCGGGCGGCGGGACACCUCAGGGGGGGAUCUCCCGGAGACUUACUGGUAGCUAGCCCCCGUGAGAAACAUCCCCUGCCCUCCUAAGGCAACCCGCCUCACUGAGACAUCCACGCCCCGCCAAUCUGAGGGGCGAUCCCUCCUUCUGUCAGCCCAACCUUCGUGAGCUCCUGCAAGCCCCCUGUCUGCCACCUCUCCUCCGAGUUGAGGAGGCCCUCGCCCCUUCAGUUCGUCCUGGAAGACCAUUCCUCUUAGUUUCUCCCCGGGUAGCGAAGAGUUUGAAGCCCUUCUCCACCCUUUAUCAAAUUCCUUACCUGAGUGGCCUAUUGAAACUCCUAGCCUCAGGUCAGUUUUUUCUGGUGUAGGGGAAGAGACCAGUGUAGCUUUGCUACCUCUAGUCGAGGACCACCCACUCUACUUUAUCUUACUGCCUGACGAAGAUGAAAUGUGGACUGUCAUGUGGAUCAACUAAACGGACUGUCUUUUGUGGAGCGAAUGCUUCAUACGCGUUCUCCAACUCUUGAUCUGGGCUGUGAGGCUGCCUGGACGCUAAACCUUUUUUAUUCCUUGCCCCCCGCCCCCUAAAUCUUUCCUUGCUUUCCUGCUGCAUUGGUCAAAAUUUUGGUAAGUGCUGUUUACGGAAGGAAAAAAAGAAGGCAGUCUGAAUCCCCAACACAAGUAUUUGUGUGUGACUCAUCUUCUUGGAUUUAAAGACAUCUCCACCUUCAGGGAGUCUUGCUUCUCUUCUGUGAAGUCAGAUGUUUGUUCCUGUUCUUCCUGAUGAGCAUGGAUUGAAAGUUGCACCUUCUAGAUUUUUUCCAGGGUGCUGCUGAUACUAUUAAAGGACAUAAUGGGGCUUUUUCACUGGAUUAUUGCCAGGAUCAGUUUACACACUGCAACAAUGAGUUGUUAGGCAUCUCAUGUACAGGUAACAUUUGUCCUGCUUUAAUGUAAAAUUGCUGGGGAGAUUGGGGAUAAAAAUUUGUUGAAGGCCGUCUGGAUCAGGAAGAGUUUCUCUUCAUCCCUGUUUGGCGUGACAUCCCCAAUCUGUCCUCGAUGCCUUCAGCCUUGGCUAUCUUCACUUGCCGCCCGAACUCUCACCCAUUUCAGGAGCGUCAUGUCUACCUGGACGAGCCUGUCAAAAUCGGCCGUUCGGUGGCUCGCUGCCGGCCAGCUCAGAAUAAUGCUACUUUUGACUGUAAAGUGCUGUCCAGGAACCAUGCCCUUGUCUGGUUUGACCACAAGACAGGCAAGCUUCCAGAUUGUGUAUUUCCGGUUCCAAAUGAGGUGUGUGGUUGACUGGUCAGUUCGUAACUCUGAGGUUCUACUGUACUUCAUUACCUUAUCUAAAAAUUGAUUGUUUUCUCAAAAAAGGAAAUCAGCUCUCUAAUACUCAACUGGAUGAACAGCCACCUCCAAGAGAGUCUGGAGCGUUCCCCUACAAGUUGUGUGGUUGACUGGUCAGUUCGUAACUCUGGUGUUCAUAACUUUGAGGUAUACUGUACCUCUACCUAAAAAAUCAAUUUGUAAUUUUUAAAAAAGCAAUAUGUAUCGAAUUUUAUCCUGCCUCCACUUUUUAUAUGUUGUUUGUCUUACAAUCUAAGCUCUUUGGGGCAGGGACUGUGCUUUUGUCAGUCUUUAUAGAGAAUGUAGAAUAGGAGCUCCAAUCCUGAUUGUGAAGACUCUGGUUUCUACUUAAUAGAAAUGUUAAAUACACAACCUUGUCUUGAACUUUCAAAACUACUGGGGCUCAACAUAUGUAUUGAUGUUCCCUUCUGGAAUGUAAAAUAGGAGAGAAGUAGAUGCUGUACAUCAUCUUGCUAAGGUAAUUUCCCAAAGACAUAAUGGUUGCUAAAAAUUAUGCAUCUUUUUGGAAAGCAAUAAUAUCCAAAUAGUACUCUUCAAACAUAGUGUUACUGUGAUUGGCUGUCUUAUUUGAAACUCCUUCAAGGAACGGAAAAGAUCUAUAAAGACAGAAGUCUCAUGUUUUUUCUCUUAAGGCAAAUUUGAAUUGUGACUCGUUUGCCUCCUGAUACUGACUUGCAUUUCUUCAUAACACAAGCUGAGAUGA
This is a non-coding RNA of Chrysemys picta bellii (western painted turtle), 2427 nucleotides long. NCBI's taxonomy places the organism in Eukaryota, Metazoa, Chordata, Testudines, Emydidae. The record is from RefSeq and is a predicted model, not a curated record.